ACAGUACAUCAAGAGUUGUUCAUUAAUGAACACGGCAACCUGGGAUUGACACCCAAGGUGCCACUAGCCGAAGGGUUAGGAUGGGGUUUAGCCGAAAGCUAAGCAAAAAAGUGUGAGAAAAU
Molecule: non-coding RNA, 122 nt
Filed under: unclassified sequences
Description: SAM-I-IV sequence
Rfam family: SAM-I/IV (S-adenosyl methionine) riboswitch aptamer
About the family: It is found upstream of a number of genes which code for proteins involved in methionine or cysteine biosynthesis. It has been found mostly in the order Actinomycetales.
Source: Rfam by way of RNAcentral